RNAcentral lists this ribosomal RNA (460 nucleotides) under uncultured bacterium. RNAcentral's name for it is "partial 16S ribosomal RNA". It matches the Rfam family "Bacterial small subunit ribosomal RNA", at positions 338 to 795 of the family's 1533-position model. The record is from RNAcentral.
CCUACGGGUGGCUGCAGUGAGGAAUAUUGGUCAAUGGGCGCGAGCCUGAACCAGCCAAGUAGCGUGAAGGAUGACUGCCCUACGGGUUGUAAACUUCUUUUAUACAGGAAUAAAGUGAGGCACGUGUGCCUUUUUGUAUGUACUUUAUGAAUAAGGAUCGGCUAACUCCGUGCCAGCAGCCGCGGUAAUACGGAGGAUCCGAGCGUUAUCCGGAUUUAUUGGGUUUAAAGGGAGCGUAGAUGGGUUGAUAAGUCAGUGGUGAAAGUUUGCGGCUCAACCGCAAAACUGCAAUUGAUACUGGCAGGCUUGAGUUUAGUUGAGGUAGGCGGAAUGUGUGGUGUAGCGGUGAAAUGCUUAGAGAUCACGCAGAACUCCGAUUGCGAAGGCAGCUUACCAAACUGCCACUGACAUUGAUGCUCGAAAGUGUGGGGAGCAAACAGGAUUAGAUACCCCUGUAGUC